This is a long non-coding RNA of Marmota flaviventris (yellow-bellied marmot), 801 nucleotides long. RefSeq lists it as uncharacterized. The record is from RefSeq and is a predicted model, not a curated record. Lineage: Eukaryota; Metazoa; Chordata; Mammalia; Rodentia; Sciuridae.
ACGAUGUCCCCAGAACGGUAGGUGCUUGCAUUUACUGGAGGGGAUGUCCCCCUCACCCUAUUUGUGGCUAAACAGAGAGCUUCCUCAGGAAUAUAGGCCUCACCCUGCCCAGUGCUGGCUCCUUCAGGAUGGGCCUAGGUCGGCUUCAUGGCCCUUUGCCAGACUUCUUGGAGCUUAAUUGGAUAAUGAACUGCAUGGAGUGAGGGAGAUAUCCUGAGUGUGAUCCAUCUGCUGUGUUCCAAGGAUCUGCCACUUAUGGGAGCUCGAAAAGCAGAUUCCAGGCAGAUGAACAAAGAGGAGCAAGAACCCUUCAGCAGCGUGGAGCAGCUAGACACCUGGAACCCAGGAUGCAUUCCAUGUGGUGACUAAGUUCCUGAAGCAGAUGUGGACAACCAAACAUUGAUGGACAACCAAAGGGAUCUAUCAAAUGUGGCAUGCUCAGGCCAUCACUCUUUCCAGCAUUGCCAUAUAGUUCCCAUUGCCUGAAAGGUCACCUGGAGAGAAGUUCUUUCCUGCACUGGAUUCUAUGUGGACUUGGUUGGUUUCUUGUGCUUUGGGUAUCAGGGAAUCCAUAGUCACAGCAUUCAGUUGUGGCUUUGGAUGCCUCAGAAAUGUGCCCUCAGAAGGCUUGGGGCACUAUGUCUUCCUGACUUUGCUGCUAUAUGACAAUGAGUUAUCUUCUACUUUAUGGAAACUGCCUGCAGUCUGCCCCUCCCACAAGUAUAGCACUGGAACACCUCUGGUUUGAGCCACUGUUAGUCAGCUUUCUGUUGCUGGGACAAAAUACCUGAGGUAAUUAAC